GACGAACCGUGCGAACGUUGUUCGGAAUCACUGGGCUUAAAGGGCGCGUAGGCGGGCCAUAAAGUCAGGGGUGAAAUCCUCCAGCUUAACUGGAGAACUGCCUUUGAUACUGAUGGUCUCGAGUAAGGUAGGGGCAUGCGGAACUGAUGGUGGAGCGGUGAAAUGUGUUGAUAUCAUCAGGAACUCCGGUGGCGAAGGCGGCAUGCUGGACCUUCACUGACGCUGAGGCGCGAAAGCUAGGGGAGCAAACGGG
RNAcentral lists this ribosomal RNA (253 nucleotides) under uncultured bacterium. RNAcentral describes it as "partial 16S ribosomal RNA". It matches the Rfam family "Bacterial small subunit ribosomal RNA", at positions 524 to 776 of the family's 1533-position model. The record is from RNAcentral.